RNAcentral lists this long non-coding RNA (232 nucleotides) under Eutrema salsugineum. Its description in RNAcentral is "long non-coding RNA (ESAL_LNC001344)". The record is from RNAcentral. Lineage: Eukaryota; Viridiplantae; Streptophyta; Magnoliopsida; Brassicales; Brassicaceae.
UACGACGAUUUUACAACGCUUUUUAAUAUUUUUUUAAUUUUUAUUUUUAAUUUUUUACAACGAUUUUAAAACGAUUUUUAUUAUUUUUUUUUUAUUUUUACAACGAUUUUACAACGAUUUUUAUUAUUUUUAUUAUUUUUAUUUAUUUAUUUUACGACGAUUUUACAACGAUUUUUUAAUUUUUUUUUAAAUUUUCCGGCGAUGGUGACUCCGGUGGUGAUAGCUCCUCCGG